This 214-nucleotide long non-coding RNA is filed under the name Bos taurus (domestic cattle). RNAcentral's name for it is "long non-coding RNA NONBTAT005882". Lineage: Eukaryota; Metazoa; Chordata; Mammalia; Artiodactyla; Bovidae. The record is from RNAcentral.
UGAUGUUGAAAGCAUCAUCACCUCAGGAAAAAUUAAGCAGCAGAGUGUUGAUCCUGAAGUCCAUAGCAGUCACUGGUGAAGAUGAAAACGUCCCUUAGAGCUAGUCACAGUGUUCAUGCUUCUUGCUGAUAUUUUUAGAAUAGGUAAAAAGUAUAAAUUGUAAACAGUUCAUAAAAUUAUGAUAAGCUGCAGAAUAAUAAAAGGCAAACAUUAC